RNAcentral lists this RNase MRP RNA (466 nucleotides) under Mollisia scopiformis. RNAcentral describes it as "Phialocephala scopiformis RNase MRP". It matches the Rfam family "RNase MRP". From Rfam's summary of the family: RNase MRP is an enzymatically active ribonucleoprotein with two distinct roles in eukaryotes. In mitochondria it plays a direct role in the initiation of mitochondrial DNA replication. The record is from Rfam by way of RNAcentral. Lineage: Eukaryota; Fungi; Ascomycota; Leotiomycetes; Helotiales; Mollisiaceae.
CUCUCGCUCAAAGAAUCGCAUUCGAAGCACACAAACAGAGAGAUCUUCCGAUCUCUCAGCCAGCAAUGGCUUCUUCUUGCUUUGGGAGAAAGUCCCCGGACACCCUUUCUUUGAAAGGAUUGUGGAAACACGCCGCCAUAGAAGCACAUUGCGGCUUCUCCAGUACCAAUUCCUCUUCGACUCCUCCACCCACAUACCGUUUGUACUGCCUUCUUGUCGAUCUCUGGACCACGGUCUUAGCUGAGGAUACCAUAUGGAUGAAGAUAUGAGUCCGAGCUCCUUGCGCGACGUCUAUUGGGACUUGGUGAGGUGGGAUUGUGGGAGGUGUUUGGACUGUUCUUGGAUCGUCGAGGAUGUUCUGGUCGCUGGAGGCAUUUCGUCGAGAACGAUAGUUAUGCGAUUGCCUUUCUCUUGCUGUGCAAACAGUGAGAGGGGUAACUCGAUGGGGCUUAUUCUUGAUGCGAGA